Molecule: long non-coding RNA, 965 nt
Organism: Oreochromis aureus
Lineage: Eukaryota; Metazoa; Chordata; Actinopteri; Cichliformes; Cichlidae
Source: Ensembl
CAGCCUCUGGCUCCAAAUUUGCAAGAUGGCAGCCUCCACAAGCGGGAUAUUUUGGCUUCAUUUUUGCACAAUGGGAGGAGGCGGAGUCGCGUCGUCCAUGUUUUCUACUGUCAAUGGUGUGAACGAAGUCUGGCUCCUUUAAUCCUGCAUGACAAACCUCAGGAUGCAGAACAGUUCUCCACAGUCGCUGUCUACAUGGGUCAGUGGGACCAAGAAGCACUCUGCUAAUGUGGGACUCUGACCAGCAACAUCCAGCAAGACCCAGGUAGCGUUUUCUAUCUCCCAGCUGGAGUUUUUUGUUUGUGACGGGAGAGUCAGAUUUUUGUUGAGGCUGGAGGAACAGCCUCACACUUGCAGAGGUUAAUACACGCUACUGAUCCCUGAUGGGAGAAUCAUCACCUCUGCCAACAAAGAAGCCUGGUGGAUGUUUGUUUACAGUCUGAUGAUGGGACACCAUGCUCUGCAUCUUCAAAGUUUGUCUCUUGCUUAUUAUUCAUACACAGUAAUGUGAAGUAUGCUUAUAUCUAGUAUAACUGGACCGACCUGGUGCUCUUCAUUUAUGGAGGCUGUUGAGUCUGAAUGUUGGAUGUUGUGUAUCUCGUGUUCUCUGGGCUUUGUUGUCCUCAGUCUUUUUGCAGGCUCAGAAAACAAAACCAGGAGACCUGUAAAUGUUUCUUCUCCAAUUGGAUGAUGAUAAGACUGUGACAUGGGAUGCCACCUUUAGUCUUGUGAUGAAGCAAAGCUCAGGAAGAAGUGUGAUUAAAUGGUACCCACAUGUGUGCUGCUGAGAAGGAUGUACAGGGGCACCUGCAGCCAAAUCCAAGCCUCAGCAACUUCAAGUCUGUCAGCGUGCUGAGGUCACAGAAACAAGAAAAGCAGCUUCAGACUUCAGAGUGUUGUUUACAGUUUUCUGUCAUCAUGAGCUCCCCUGAAGUUUAUCACUAUUAGGCAAGCAGUAAGUCCAC